CGGUGAAUACGUUCCCGGGCCUUGUACACACCGCCCGUCACACCAUGGGAGUUGGUUUUACCCGAAGGCGAUGUGCUAACCGCAAGGAGGCAGGCGACCACGGUAGGGUCAGCGACUGGGGUGAAGUCGUAACAAGGUAGCCGUAGGGGAACCUGCGGCUGGAUCACCUCCUU
Molecule: ribosomal RNA, 173 nt
Filed under: Brucella intermedia
Lineage: Bacteria; Pseudomonadati; Pseudomonadota; Alphaproteobacteria; Hyphomicrobiales; Brucellaceae
Description: Ochrobactrum intermedium partial 16S ribosomal RNA
Rfam family: Bacterial small subunit ribosomal RNA
Source: RNAcentral